AUUUGUCUCUCAAACUACCAGCUCUGUAUCAACCACGGUCUCCACGAACUUCCUGAGAGAUCUAGUGUUAAACUCGUGGAUGGCGACUUGUCUCUGAAACUUCCAGCUUUC
This is a long non-coding RNA of Ipomoea nil (Japanese morning glory), 111 nucleotides long. RefSeq lists it as uncharacterized. Lineage: Eukaryota; Viridiplantae; Streptophyta; Magnoliopsida; Solanales; Convolvulaceae. The record is from RefSeq and is a predicted model, not a curated record. The transcript is spliced from 3 exons.